RNAcentral lists this ribosomal RNA (375 nucleotides) under uncultured soil bacterium. RNAcentral's name for it is "bacterial SSU rRNA". It matches the Rfam family "Bacterial small subunit ribosomal RNA", at positions 26 to 412 of the family's 1533-position model. The record is from RNAcentral.
AGAUUGAACGCUGGCGGCAUGCCUAACACAUGCAAGUCGAACGGGAGUAGCAAUACUCUAGUGGCGGACGGGUGAGGAAUACGUAGGAAUUUGCCCUUAAGUGGGGGAUAACCCGGGGAAACCCGGAUUAAUACCGCAUGACCUCGAAAGAGCAAAGUGGGGGAUCGCAAGACCUCACGCUUUUGGAGAAGCCUACGUCGGAUUAGCUAGUUGGUGAGGUAAUGGCUCACCAAGGCGACGAUCCGUAACUGGUCUGAGAGGAUGAUCAGUCACACCGGAACUGAGACACGGUCCGGACUCCUACGGGAGGCAGCAGUGGGGAAUAUUGGACAAUGGGGCGCAAGCCUGAUCCAGCAAUGCCGCGUGUGUGAAGAA